GACGAACGCUGGCGGCGUGCCUAAUACAUGCAAGUCGAGCGAAGUUUUUCUGGUGCUUGCCCUAGAAAAACUUAGCGGCGCACGGGUGAGUAACACGUAAAGAACCUGCCUCAUAGACUGGGACAACUAUUGGAAACGAUAUCUAAUACCGGAUAACAGUAUUUCUCGCAUGAGAGAUAUUUAAAAGUUGGUUAUGCUAACACUAUGAGAUGGCUUUGCGGUGCAUUAGCUAGUUGGUGGGGUAAAGGCCCACCAAGGCGACGAUGCAUAGCCGACCUGAGAGGGUGAUCGGCCACACUGGGACUGAGACACGGACCAGACUCCUACGGGAGGCAGCAGUAGGGAAUCUUCCGCAAUGGGCGAAAGCCUGACGGAGCAACGCCGCGUGAGUGAAGAAGGAUUUCGGUUCGUAAAGCUCUGUUGUUAGGGAAGAAUGGAUAUGUAGUAACUAUACAUGUAAGAGACGGUACCUAAACAGAAAGCCACGGCUAACUACGUG
This 499-nucleotide ribosomal RNA is filed under the name uncultured bacterium. Its description in RNAcentral is "partial 16S ribosomal RNA". It matches the Rfam family "Bacterial small subunit ribosomal RNA", at positions 28 to 507 of the family's 1533-position model. The record is from RNAcentral.